AGCGUACACGGUGGAUGCCCUGGCAGUCAGAGGCGAUGAAGGACGUGCUAAUCUGCGAUAAGCGUCGGUAAGGUGAUAUGAACCGUUAUAACCGGCGAUUUCCGAAUGGGGAAACCCAGUGUGUUUCGACACACUAUCAUUAACUGAAUCCAUAGGUUAAUGAGGCGAACCGGGGGAACUGAAACAUCUAAGUACCCCGAGGAAAAGAAAUCAACCGAGAUUCCCCCAGUAGCGGCGAGCGAACGGGGAGCAGCCCAGAGCCUGAAUCAGUGUGUGUGUUAGUGGAAGCGUCUGGAAAGGCGCGCGAUACAGGGUGACAGCCCCGUACACAAAAAUGCACAUACUGUGAGCUCGAUGAGUAGGGCGGGACACGUGGUAUCCUGUCUGAAUAUGGGGGGACCAUCCUCCAAGGCUAAAUACUCCUGACUGACCGAUAGUGAACCAGUACCGUGAGGGAAAGGCGAAAAGAACCCCGGCGAGGGGAGUGAAAAAGAACCUGAAACCGUGUACGUACAAGCAGUGGGAGCACAGAGCAAUCUGUGUGACUGCGUACCUUUUGUAUAAUGGGUCAGCGACUUAUAUUCUGUAGCAAGGUUAACCGAAUAGGGGAGCCGAAGGGAAACCGAGUCUUAACUGGGCGUUAAGUUGCAGGGUAUAGACCCGAAACCCGGUGAUCUAGCCAUGGGCAGGUUGAAGGUUGGGUAACACUAACUGGAGGACCGAACCGACUAAUGUUGAAAAAUUAGCGGAUGACUUGUGGCUGGGGGUGAAAGGCCAAUCAAACCGGGAGAUAGCUGGUUCUCCCCGAAAGCUAUUUAGGUAGCGCCUCGUGAAUUCAUCUCCGGGGGUAGAGCACUGUUUCGGCAAGGGGGUCAUCCCGACUUACCAACCCGAUGCAAACUGCGAAUACCGGAGAAUGUUAUCACGGGAGACACACGGCGGGUGCUAACGUCCGUCGUGAAGAGGGAAACAACCCAGACCGCCAGCUAAGGUCCCAAAGUCAUGGUUAAGUGGGAAACGAUGUGGGAAGGCCCAGACAGCCAGGAUGUUGGCUUAGAAGCAGCCAUCAUUUAAAGAAAGCGUAAUAGCUCACUGGUCGAGUCGGCCUGCGCGGAAGAUGUAACGGGGCUAAACCAUGCACCGAAGCUGCGGCAGCGACGCUUAUGCGUUGUUGGGUAGGGGAGCGUUCUGUAAGCCUGCGAAGGUGUGCUGUGAGGCAUGCUGGAGGUAUCAGAAGUGCGAAUGCUGACAUAAGUAACGAUAAAGCGGGUGAAAAGCCCGCUCGCCGGAAGACCAAGGGUUCCUGUCCAACGUUAAUCGGGGCAGGGUGAGUCGACCCCUAAGGCGAGGCCGAAAGGCGUAGUCGAUGGGAAACAGGUUAAUAUUCCUGUACUUGGUGUUACUGCGAAGGGGGGACGGAGAAGGCUAUGUUGGCCGGGCGACGGUUGUCCCGGUUUAAGCGUGUAGGCUGGUUUUCCAGGCAAAUCCGGAAAAUCAAGGCUGAGGCGUGAUGACGAGGCACUACGGUGCUGAAGCAACAAAUGCCCUGCUUCCAGGAAAAGCCUCUAAGCAUCAGGUAACAUCAAAUCGUACCCCAAACCGACACAGGUGGUCAGGUAGAGAAUACCAAGGCGCUUGAGAGAACUCGGGUGAAGGAACUAGGCAAAAUGGUGCCGUAACUUCGGGAGAAGGCACGCUGAUAUGUAGGUGAAGUCCCUCGCGGAUGGAGCUGAAAUCAGUCGAAGAUACCAGCUGGCUGCAACUGUUUAUUAAAAACACAGCACUGUGCAAACACGAAAGUGGACGUAUACGGUGUGACGCCUGCCCGGUGCCGGAAGGUUAAUUGAUGGGGUCAGCGCAAGCGAAGCUCUUGAUCGAAGCCCCGGUAAACGGCGGCCGUAACUAUAACGGUCCUAAGGUAGCGAAAUUCCUUGUCGGGUAAGUUCCGACCUGCACGAAUGGCGUAAUGAUGGCCAGGCUGUCUCCACCCGAGACUCAGUGAAAUUGAACUCGCUGUGAAGAUGCAGUGUACCCGCGGCAAGACGGAAAGACCCCGUGAACCUUUACUAUAGCUUGACACUGAACAUUGAGCCUUGAUGUGUAGGAUAGGUGGGAGGCUUUGAAGUGUGGACGCCAGUCUGCAUGGAGCCGACCUUGAAAUACCACCCUUUAAUGUUUGAUGUUCUAACGUUGACCCGUAAUCCGGGUUGCGGACAGUGUCUGGUGGGUAGUUUGACUGGGGCGGUCUCCUCCUAAAGAGUAACGGAGGAGCACGAAGGUUGGCUAAUCCUGGUCGGACAUCAGGAGGUUAGUGCAAUGGCAUAAGCCAGCUUGACUGCGAGCGUGACGGCGCGAGCAGGUGCGAAAGCAGGUCAUAGUGAUCCGGUGGUUCUGAAUGGAAGGGCCAUCGCUCAACGGAUAAAAGGUACUCCGGGGAUAACAGGCUGAUACCGCCCAAGAGUUCAUAUCGACGGCGGUGUUUGGCACCUCGAUGUCGGCUCAUCACAUCCUGGGGCUGAAGUAGGUCCCAAGGGUAUGGCUGUUCGCCAUUUAAAGUGGUACGCGAGCUGGGUUUAGAACGUCGUGAGACAGUUCGGUCCCUAUCUGCCGUGGGCGCUGGAGAACUGAGGGGGGCUGCUCCUAGUACGAGAGGACCGGAGUGGACGCAUCACUGGUGUUCGGGUUGUCAUGCCAAUGGCACUGCCCGGUAGCUAAAUGCGGAAGAGAUAAGUGCUGAAAGCAUCUAAGCACGAAACUUGCCCCGAGAUGAGUUCUCCCUGACUCCUUGA
This 2789-nucleotide ribosomal RNA is filed under the name Escherichia coli. RNAcentral describes it as "bacterial LSU rRNA". It matches the Rfam family "Bacterial large subunit ribosomal RNA". The record is from RNAcentral. Lineage: Bacteria; Pseudomonadati; Pseudomonadota; Gammaproteobacteria; Enterobacterales; Enterobacteriaceae.